RNAcentral lists this ribosomal RNA (580 nucleotides) under uncultured Actinomycetes bacterium. RNAcentral describes it as "bacterial SSU rRNA". It matches the Rfam family "Bacterial small subunit ribosomal RNA", at positions 782 to 1361 of the family's 1533-position model. Lineage: Bacteria; Bacillati; Actinomycetota; Actinomycetes. The record is from RNAcentral.
AUACCCUGGUAGUCCACGCCGUAAACGUUGGGCGCUAGGUGUGGGGGUNNUUCCACGACCUCCGUGCCGCAGCUAACGCAUUAAGCGCCCCGCCUGGGGAGUACGGCCGCAAGGCUAAAACUCAAAGGAAUUGACGGGGGCCCGCACAAGCGGCGGAGCAUGCGGAUUAAUUCGAUGCAACGCGAAGAACCUUACCAAGGCUUGACAUGCACGGGAAAGUUCCAGAGAUGGUUCCCCCGCAAGGUCCGUGCACAGGUGGUGCAUGGUUGUCGUCAGCUCGUGUCGUGAGAUGUUGGGUUAAGUCCCGCAACGAGCGCAACCCUUGUCUUAUGUUGCCAGCGGGUUAUGCCGGGGACUCAUAAGAGACUGCCGGGGUCAACUCGGAGGAAGGUGGGGAUGACGUCAAAUCAUCAUGCCCCUUAUGUCUUGGGCUUCACGCAUGCUACAAUGGCCGGUACAAAGGGCUGCGAAACCGCGAGGUGGAGCGAAUCCCAAAAAGCCGGUCUCAGUUCGGAUUGGGGUCUGCAACUCGACCCCAUGAAGUCGGAGUCGCUAGUAAUCGCAGAUCAGCAACGCUGCG